AGAGACGAUCAUUCCUCUAGGAAGAAGAGUUGAAUGAAGCCUGCAGAGAGGCCUCUGGGGAACAGUGCAUGGAGUCUCUUCACCCAGUCAUUCACUUCCUCCUUUACGUACUUGCUUAUUCCUGUGUCUACUUCUGUCUGUAUUUCUUGGUUUAUUUUGUUAGCAUCUUUACGGAGGAUUAGGCAACCAGCUGGACAAAAGCCUCUUUGGGUACAGAAAAUCCUACCCACUGCCCAUGGUGAGAUCUAAGAUCCAACUAACAUUGGCCAAGGAAGGAGAAGGGGGUGGGAGGGGUUCCGCUCAUCAUCAGGUGUUGUGAAGGGACAAAGGCUGGCCUGGAAGACAUACUAAAUACGGUUACUAACUCAGAGACUGGGAAAGCCCCAAGGCUACUGGUAAUUAACAAAAGGCAAUGCUCACCUUAUAGACCUGUAGCCAUGGAGAUGGAAGGCUUUCUUUCAGCAGCGUGUGGGCUGCCCCUAGAGAAACGGCUAAUUUCUUUCAAAUGCUGUAUACUGGAAAAAUCUCAAGUACUCAUCAGAUAAACCAAUUUAAAAA
Molecule: non-coding RNA, 558 nt
Organism: Arvicanthis niloticus (Nile rat)
Lineage: Eukaryota; Metazoa; Chordata; Mammalia; Rodentia; Muridae
Source: RefSeq, a predicted model, not a curated record